AGCCAGAUAGCUCAUUUGGUAGAUCAUUUGAUUAGAGGUUCAGGGGACCCGGGUUCGAAUCCCGGUUUGUCCG
Molecule: transfer RNA, 73 nt
Filed under: Magallana gigas (Pacific oyster)
Lineage: Eukaryota; Metazoa; Mollusca; Bivalvia; Ostreida; Ostreidae
Description: Crassostrea gigas (Pacific oyster) tRNA
Rfam family: tRNA
About the family: Transfer RNA (tRNA) molecules are approximately 80 nucleotides in length. Their secondary structure includes four short double-helical elements and three loops (D, anti-codon, and T loops). Further hydrogen bonds mediate the characteristic L-shaped molecular structure. tRNAs have two regions of fundamental functional importance: the anti-codon, which is responsible for specific mRNA codon recognition, and the 3' end, to which the tRNAs corresponding amino acid is attached (by aminoacyl-tRNA synthetases). tRNAs cope with the degeneracy of the genetic code in two manners: having more than one tRNA (with a specific anti-codon) for a particular amino acid; and 'wobble' base-pairing, i.e. permitting non-standard base-pairing at the 3rd anti-codon position.
Source: Rfam by way of RNAcentral